CUAGAAAUAUGUGUUAACAACUAUGAUAUCUACAAUAUUGUUGCAAGUAAAAGCCAUGCUUAUAUCUGUAUAAGCUGAAUUGGAAUGCAGGCUAAUAUUUAAGACAGGUUUGUAUUCAAGACACGCUUAUAUGCUGUUUGAACACACUAUGGUAUAGACUUGACAACCUUAAAUCACUUGAAAACAAGAUUCAUUAAGAUAUCUAGACAUGACUACCAUGAGAUGUCAGUUUCAAGAGCGUGAGCUGCUUUUUUGUCAUCAUUGUUGGUGUCAUUGAAAUGCUGCACACACGCAUCGACCCACACGCACACACGCACUGACUCACACGCACAUGGAGGUGACUGAGCACGUAAUCGUGCUGUGCGUCUUAAGCAAAAGCUCGGCUUCUAAACACGACUGGCUUGUAUGCAGCAAGAGGUCUUCUAUUUUCGGGUUGUAUCUGAGAUCAGCGUGUAUUCGAGGUUGGCUUUUAUUUGCGACAGUACGGUAGUUAUGUUGUUUGUUUUGUGUAUUAGUGGGAGAGGACAUUGUAGUGGUUAGUGUUUAGGUCUUUUUGCCUGUUUGUUGCUAUUUUCAACUAUUACAGAUGUAUUUAUAGUAGAAUGUUUGUCUAUUGUAUGUAGAUGUGCCUCAGUGGUUGAAGAGUUUAAGACUGCACAAAUACCAAGACCUGUUUGCACAUAUGGCUUAUGAAGAUAUGAUGAAAGUAACUGAAGAAGAACUUGAGGAUAGGAAUGUGACAAAAGGUGCAAGACACAAAAUUGUAAGCAGUAUCCAGAAACUAAAAGAUCGUUUCAAACAAUUGGAAUGUCUUGAAGAGGUCAGUUAUUUUUGCUAAAGAGACCAUUGUACAAAGGAGAACACAUGAAGAGGUAGCUGCAAUAUCACAAACCAUUGUAACAGUUGUUCCUGGGUGUUGUAAACGAUGGAAAUCAUCGUUGGACAAGUUUGUUUGCUUAAUUAAUCAUAAUCAGGCAUUUUAUGCAUAAGUGCUUGUUUCAUAUGUGUUAGCAACAGUCUUUGAUGCCUAGCACUUUCAUUUGCCUAAAUAUUGUGUAUUGUAUUGCUAAAAAAA
Long non-coding RNA from Corticium candelabrum, 1075 nucleotides. RefSeq lists it as uncharacterized. The record is from RefSeq and is a predicted model, not a curated record. NCBI's taxonomy places the organism in Eukaryota, Metazoa, Porifera, Homoscleromorpha, Homosclerophorida, Plakinidae. The transcript has 3 exons.